UGCAAUCUGAACACUCAUCAAGGCUA
This 26-nucleotide non-coding RNA is filed under the name Homo sapiens (human). Lineage: Eukaryota; Metazoa; Chordata; Mammalia; Primates; Hominidae. The record is from RNAcentral.